AAACUUUCAGCAAUGG
RNAcentral lists this ribosomal RNA (16 nucleotides) under Eimeria zuernii. RNAcentral describes it as "partial 5.8S rRNA". Lineage: Eukaryota; Apicomplexa; Conoidasida; Eucoccidiorida; Eimeriidae. The record is from RNAcentral.